This 227-nucleotide ribosomal RNA is filed under the name Hemiselmis rufescens. RNAcentral describes it as "partial Bacterial large subunit ribosomal RNA". It matches the Rfam family "Bacterial large subunit ribosomal RNA", at positions 1248 to 1479 of the family's 2925-position model. The record is from RNAcentral. Lineage: Eukaryota; Cryptophyceae; Cryptomonadales; Hemiselmidaceae.
CAGUGAAUCCGGAUGGUAAUGUCCGGUGGAGUUUCUGGAAAAGCAAAUGUAGGCAUAAGUAACGAUAAUGGAUGGGAACAACAUCCACACCGAAAGACCAAGGAUUCCUGAUCAACGCUAAUCGGAUCAGGGUCAGUCGGGACCUAAGGAUAACCCGAAGGGGGAUUCCGAUGGCAAAUGGGUUAAUAUUCCCAUACCGUUCAUACAGGUGAUGGGGUGACGGAGUG